AUUGAACGCUGGCGGCAGGCUUAAUACAUGCAAGUCGAACGGUAACACGCAGGAAGCAAUUCCUGUGGUGACGAGUGGCGGACGGGUGAGUAAAGUUUGGGAAUCUGUCCUUCAGAGGGGGAUAGCAGCUGGAAACGGCUGAUAAAACCGCAUACGCUCUGAGGAGGAAAGUGACGGGACCGGCGACGGCCGUCAGCUGAAGGGUGAGCCCAAAUGGGAUUAGCUAGUAGGGGAGGUAAAGGCUCACCUAGGCGACGAUCUCUAGCUGGUUUUAGCGGAUGACCAGCCACAUUGGAACUGAGACACGGUCCAAACUCCUACGGGAGGCAGCAGUAGGGAAUAUUGCACAAUGGGGGGAACCCUGAUGCAGCCAUGCCGCGUGUGUGAAGAAGGCCUUCGGGUUGUAAAGCACUUUUACUGCGGAGAAGGGUUGAUGCAAUAACAAGGCAUUAACCGGAUGUUACGCAGGGAAUAAGAACCGGCAAACUCCGUGCCAGCAGCCGCGGUAAUACGGAGGGUUCGAGCGUUAAUCGGAAUGACUGGGCGUAAAGGGCUGGUAGGUGGCUUUGUGAGUCGGCAGUGAAAU
This 586-nucleotide ribosomal RNA is filed under the name uncultured bacterium. RNAcentral describes it as "bacterial SSU rRNA". It matches the Rfam family "Bacterial small subunit ribosomal RNA", at positions 28 to 600 of the family's 1533-position model. The record is from RNAcentral.